RNAcentral lists this ribosomal RNA (229 nucleotides) under uncultured bacterium. RNAcentral describes it as "partial 16S ribosomal RNA". It matches the Rfam family "Bacterial small subunit ribosomal RNA", at positions 118 to 348 of the family's 1533-position model. The record is from RNAcentral.
UGAGCAAUCUGCCCUUCUCUUCGGAAUAAGCGUGGGAAACCGCGUCUAAUGCCGAAUACGACCUCCUUUCGCAUGAUCGGAGGUGGAAAGCUCCGGCGGAGAAGGAUGAGCUCGCGGCCUAUAAGCUAGUUGGUGAGGUAACGGCUCACCAAGGCGACGACGGGUAGCUGGUCUGAGAGGAUGGCCAGCCACAUUGGGACUGAGACACGGCCCAGACUCCGUAGGGAGG